Molecule: ribosomal RNA, 253 nt
Filed under: uncultured bacterium
Lineage: Bacteria
Description: partial 16S ribosomal RNA
Rfam family: Bacterial small subunit ribosomal RNA
Source: RNAcentral
UACGUAGGGUGCGAGCGUUGUCCGGAAUUAUUGGGCGUAAAGAGCUUGUAGGCGGUUUGUCGCGUCUGCCGUGAAAAUCCGGGGCUCAACCCCGGACUUGCGGUGGGUACGGGCAGACUAGAGUGUGGUAGGGGAGACUGGAACUCCUGGUGUAGCGGUGAAAUGCGCAGAUAUCAGGAGGAACACCGGUGGCGAAGGCGGGUCUCUGGGCCGAUACUGACGCUGAGGAGCGAAAGCGUGGGGAGCAAACAGG